UGGCGGACGGGUGAGUAAUGUCUGGGAAACUGCCUGAUGGAGGGGGAUAACUACUGGAAACGGUAGCUAAUACCGCAUAACGUCGCAGACCAAAGAGGGGGACCUUCGGGCCUCUUGCCAUCGGAUGUGCCCAGAUGGGAUUAGCUAGUAGGUGGGGUAACGGCUCACCUAGGCGACGAUCCCUAGCUGGUCUGAGAGGAUGACCAGCCACACUGGAACUGAGACACGGUCCAG
RNAcentral lists this ribosomal RNA (234 nucleotides) under uncultured bacterium. RNAcentral's name for it is "partial 16S ribosomal RNA". It matches the Rfam family "Bacterial small subunit ribosomal RNA", at positions 96 to 334 of the family's 1533-position model. The record is from RNAcentral.